CCGAGUGCGGGUCCUCGCGGCCCAACCUCCCACCCUUGUCUCUAUACACCUGUUGCUUUGGCGGGCCCACUGGGGCCACCUGGUCGCCGGGGGACGCAUGUCCCCGGGCCCGCGCCCGCCGAAGCGCUCUGUGAACCCUGAUGAAGAUGGGCUGUCUGAGUACCAUGAAAAUUGUCAAAACUUUCAACAAUGGAUCUCUUGGUUCCGGCAUCGAUGAAGAACGCAGCGAAAUGCGAUAAGUAAUGUGAAUUGCAGAAUUCCGUGAAUCAUCGAAUCUUUGAACGCACAUUGCGCCCCCUGGCAGUUCCGGGGGGCAUGCCUGUCCGAGCGUCAUUUCUGCCCUCAAGCACGGCUUGUAUCGCGUACUUGGUCAUUUAGAGGAAGUAAAAGUCGUAACAAGGUCUCCGUUGGUGAACCAGCGGAGGGAUCAUUACUGAGUUGCAAAACUCCCAACCAUUGUGAACCUACCUAUCGUUGCUUCGGCGGGCGAGGCCCUCAGCGGCCUCGCGCCCACCCCCCUCGGGGGGAGGCAGCCCGCCGGAGGCGUCCAAACUAUAGCAUACAUUGGCCUCUCUGAGUAGCUUAUAAAAUAAGUCA
RNAcentral lists this unclassified non-coding RNA (597 nucleotides) under soil metagenome. RNAcentral's name for it is "partial contains internal transcribed spacer 1, 5.8S ribosomal RNA, and internal transcribed spacer 2". The stretch from base 179 to 333 matches the Rfam family "5.8S ribosomal RNA". The record is from RNAcentral.